Molecule: ribosomal RNA, 481 nt
Filed under: uncultured bacterium
Lineage: Bacteria
Description: SSU rRNA
Rfam family: Bacterial small subunit ribosomal RNA
Source: RNAcentral
AGGACGAACGCUGGCGGCGCGCUUAACACAUGCAAGUCGAGCGAGAACCGGUCCUUCGGGACCGGGGAAAGCGGCGAACGGGUGAGUAACACGUGGGUAAUCAACCCUCAGUACCGGGAUAGCCCGAGGAAACUCGGAUUAAUACCGGAUGGCCCAACAGCUCUUCGGGGCGGUUGGAAAAGGUAGCUUCGGCCUCCGACUGAGGACGAGCCCGCGGCGGAUUAGCUUGUUGGCGGGGUAAUGGCCCACCAAGGCGACGAUCCGUAGCUGGUCUGAGAGGACGAUCAGCCACACUGGGACUGAGACACGGCCCAGACUCCUACGGGAGGCAGCAGUGGGGAAUCUUGCGCAAUGGGCGAAAGCCUGACGCAGCAACGCCGCGUGGAGGACGAAGGCUUUCUGAGUUGUAAACUCCUUUCAGCAGGGACGAUUGUGACGGUACCUGCAGAAGAAGCACCGGCCAACUACGUGCCAGCAGCCG